AUUGAACGCUGGCGGCAGGCCUAACACAUGCAAGUCGAACGAGUGGCGGACGGGUGAGUAAUGUCUGGGAAACUGCCUGAUGGAGGGGGAUAACUACUGGAACCGGUAGCUAAUACCGCAUACCAUCGGAUGUGCCCAGAUGGGCUUAGCUAGUAGGUGGGGUAAAGGCUCACCUAGGCGAGGAUCCCUAGCUGGGCUGAGAGGAUGACCAGCCAACAUGGGACUGGUACACGGUCCAGACUCCUACGGGAGGCAGCAGUUGGGAAUAUUGCACAAGGGGCGGAAGCCUUAUGCCGCCAUGCCGCGUGUAUGAAGAAGGCCUUCGGGGUGUAAAGUACUUUCAGCGGGGAGGCGUUACCCGCAGAAGAAGCACCGGCUAACUCCGUGCCAGCAGCCGCGGUAAUAC
This 406-nucleotide ribosomal RNA is filed under the name uncultured bacterium. RNAcentral describes it as "partial 16S ribosomal RNA". It matches the Rfam family "Bacterial small subunit ribosomal RNA", at positions 30 to 526 of the family's 1533-position model. The record is from RNAcentral.